CAGAGCAACGGGUCGUCGACCGUCAAAAGUUGGCGACCCAGCCUUGAAUACAUCAGCAUGGGAUAAUAGAAUAGGAUCUUUUUCUUAUUCUGUCGGUUUCCGAGGAAAAGGUAAUGAUCGAGAGGGGUAAUUGGGGGCAUUCAUAUUUAGUAGUCAGAGGUGAAAUUCUUGGAUUUACGAAAGAUGAACUUGUGCGAAAGCAUUUGCCAAGGGUGCUUUCUUUGAUCAAGAACGAAAGUUAGGGGAUCGAAGACGAUCAGAUACCGUCGUAGUCUUAACCUUAAACUAUGCCGACCAGGGAUUGGAAGACGUUACUAAACACCCCUCACAAGGGGGUGAAAACGACUCCUCCAGCACCUUGCGAGAAAUCACAAGUCUUUGGGUUCCGGGGGGAGUAUGGUCGCAAGGCUGAAACUUAAAGGAAUUGACGGAAG
This 434-nucleotide ribosomal RNA is filed under the name uncultured eukaryote. RNAcentral describes it as "bacterial SSU rRNA". It matches the Rfam family "Eukaryotic small subunit ribosomal RNA", at positions 736 to 1162 of the family's 1831-position model. The record is from RNAcentral.